RNAcentral lists this ribosomal RNA (792 nucleotides) under uncultured bacterium. Its description in RNAcentral is "bacterial SSU rRNA". It matches the Rfam family "Bacterial small subunit ribosomal RNA", at positions 8 to 796 of the family's 1533-position model. The record is from RNAcentral.
AGAGUUUGAUCCUGGCUCAGAACGAACGCUGGCGGCGUGCUUAACACAUGCAAGUCGCGUGCGCAGUUGCCGUAGCAAUACGGUGAUGGGCGCACGGCGCACGGGUGCGUAACACGUGGGCAAUCUGCCCUUUGAUGGGGAAUAACCCGCCGAAAGGCGGGCUAAUUCCGCAUAAGAUUCCCGGAACUUCGGUUCUGGGAUUGAAAGCAGCAAUGCGUCGAAGGAGGAGCCCGCGCCCGAUUAGCUAGUUGGUGAGGUAACGGCUCACCAAGGCAAUGAUCGGUAGCUGGUCUGAGAGGAUGAUCAGCCACACUGGAACUGAGACACGGUCCAGACUCCUACGGGAGGCAGCAGUGGGGAAUCUUGCACAAUGGGCGAAAGCCUGAUGCAGCGACGCCGCGUGGGGGAUGAAGCAUUUCGGUGUGUAAACCCCUUUCGACUGGGACGAAUGCCUCGCAAGAGGAGUGACGGUACCAGUAGAAGAAGCCCCGGCUAACUACGUGCCAGCAGCCGCGGUAAGACGUAGGGGGCCAGCGUUGUUCGGAAUUACUGGGUGUAAAGGGUUCGUAGGCGGUGCGGCAAGUUGGGAGUGAAAUCUCUGGGCUUAACCCAGAGGCUGCUUCCAAAACUGCUGUGCUCGAGUGUGAGAGAGGCUCGUGGAAUUGCAGGUGUAGCGGUGAAAUGCGUAGAUAUCUGCAGGAACACCCGUGGCGAAAGCGGCGAGCUGGAUCACUACUGACGCUGAGGAACGAAAGCUAGGGGAGCAAACAGGAUUAGAUACCCUAGUAGUCC